Molecule: ribosomal RNA, 525 nt
Filed under: uncultured bacterium
Lineage: Bacteria
Description: bacterial SSU rRNA
Rfam family: Bacterial small subunit ribosomal RNA
Source: RNAcentral
GUGGGGGAUAAGGUCUUCGGAUUGUAAACCCCUGUCAUGUGGGACAUUAAAAAGAUAGUACCACAAGAGGAAGAGACGGCUAACUCUGUGCCAGCAGCCGCGGUAAUACAGAGGUCUCAAGCGUUGUUCGGAAUCACUGGGCGUAAAGCGUGCGUAGGCUGUUUCGUAAGUCGUGUGUGAAAGGCGCGGGCUCAACCCGCGGACGGCACAUGAUACUGCGAGACUAGAGUAAUGGAGGGGGAACCGGAAUUCUCGGUGUAGCAGUGAAAUGCGUAGAUAUCGAGAGGAACACUCGUGGCGAAGGCGGGUUCCUGGACAUUAACUGACGCUGAGGCACGAAGGCCAGGGGAGCGAAAGGGAUUAGAUACCCCUGUAGUCCUGGCAGUAAACGGUGCACGCUUGGUGUGCGGAGAUCGACCCUGCGUGCCGGAGCUAACGCGUUAAGCGUGCCGCCUGGGGAGUACGGUCGCAAGAUUAAAACUCCAAGAAAUUGACGGGGACCCGCACAAGCGGUGGAGUAUGUGG